Non-coding RNA from Vicugna pacos (alpaca), 1076 nucleotides. NCBI's taxonomy places the organism in Eukaryota, Metazoa, Chordata, Mammalia, Artiodactyla, Camelidae. The record is from RefSeq and is a predicted model, not a curated record.
CUUUAGCACAAUCUGCCUGGCACUCAGUAUGCUCUAAGUCCUCCUAUUAUUAUUAGUCUAUUAUUAUAAUCAGAGAAGUUUUCCCAGGGAAGACAAGAACUGAGGUGGACUUGCUCAGUGUGUGCCCUGAGUGCAAACUCUACCUCAUUUGUUGCUGAUACUGAGGAUAAAAGAUGAUCAGAGAUGCCUGGUUGGAGAUCUACUCAGUGACAUUGGUAAAUGCAUGGAAAUUCAUUCAUUCCCUCACUCAUUCAUUUGUUUAUUCAUCAUAUAUUUCUUGUGUGCCUUCUCAUUGCUGGCUGCUGUGUUAGGUGUCAGGAAUACAAAGAGCACUGUGGCUGCAGUAUGGGGAGGGCCGAGAGUGCUGGAAGCAGAGAGGAGUCUCUGGGACUGAUUGUGGAGUCAAGUGACUGAAGGGACUGAAUUCAGUGGAGAUAUAAACAGGAAACUUGGAGCUUUGCCACAAGGAGAAGGUGGAGACAAAGAAGAAGGAAUAGGUACAGAAAGGAGAAAAGGCCAAUAAAGGGAACUGGAGAGAAGAAUGAAAACUUGAAAGAGAAAGAACCAAAACUCUUGAAAUAUUUUGAAGAGUGCACCACCUAGGACACCAUAAAAACAAAGAUGCCACUGAGUGGAGGGCAGCAGGAAUCUGAUGGGUUCAGGUUAACUGCAACCAACAUGGAGCCCCAAAAUCCAAGCUAUGGAAGAUCGUCUCUCAACCUCCUUGACGUAAGUUUUCAGCCAGAUUGGUACUUGCUUUACUGUUGGUCUUUGAGAUGCCACUUCAUUAGGUUUUAAAAACUCUGAUGCUUGGCACAGAAGCGUGUCGGACUUCAUUGUAUUCGGGUGAUCAUUACCAGACUCUCUCUUCUUUUCUCUUUGAAAGAGCCUCUUUUCCUUUGUUGAUAGUUUAUACUCAGUGCCUUGGGAGAAACACUUCCUAGGAAUUACCUCUAUUUUAUUUUGUAGCAUUUUAGCUGAAAAGAAAAAGAGAGUUGAAGGGGAAUGAGAUGAAAUUCAAGGAUUGAUUUAUAAAAUAUAUAUAGUUUAUCUUAGGUUUUAUAUAGCUCACAGCC